This 450-nucleotide ribosomal RNA is filed under the name uncultured bacterium. RNAcentral's name for it is "partial 16S ribosomal RNA". It matches the Rfam family "Bacterial small subunit ribosomal RNA", at positions 338 to 795 of the family's 1533-position model. The record is from RNAcentral.
CCUACGGGUGGCUGCAGUGGGGAAUUUUGGACAAUGGGCGCAAGCCUGAUCCAGCCAUGCCGCGUGGGUGAAGAAGGCCUUCGGGUUGUAAAGCCCUUUCGGCCGGGAAGAAAUCGUGCGGGCGAACAGUCUGCAUGGAUGACGGUACCGGAAGAAGAAGCACCGGCUAACUACGUGCCAGCAGCCGCGGUAAUACGUAGGGUGCGAGCGGUAAUCGGAACGUGCGGGCGCAAAGCGUUAGCAGGCCGCGGAACUCCCCGGGCUUAACCUGGGAACUGCGGUUGUGACUGUGGUGCUAGAGUACGGCAGAGGGAGGUGGAAUUCCUGGUGUAGCAGUGAAAUGCGUAGAGAUCAGGAGGAACACCGAUGGCGAAGGCAGCCUCCUGGGCUGAUACUGACGCUCAUGCACGAAAGCGUGGGGAGCAAACAGGAUUAGAUACCCGAGUAGUC